GAUGAAGAACGUAUCGAAAUGCGAUAAGUAAUGUGAAUUGCAGAAUUCAGUGAAUCAUCGAAUCUUUGAACGCACCUUGCGCCCUUUGGUAUUCCGAAGGGCAUGCCUGUUUGAGUGUCAUUAAAUUCUCAACCUUGAAAGGCUUUACAAGUUUUUCAAGGCUUGGAUCUGGAGGCUGCGGGCUUCAUUCUUUGAAGUCGGCUCCUCUUAAAUGCAUUAGCUGGGUUUGCGCCUUCAGCCUAUUGGUGUGAUAAUUAUCUACGCCUCCUGGCCGUCAGCGUGUUAUACCUCUCCAGCUUCUAACCGUCUCUUGUAGACAAUCUUUGACCAUUUGACCUCAAAUCAGGUAGGACUACCCGCUGAACUUAAGCAUAUCAAUAAGCGGAGGA
Molecule: unclassified non-coding RNA, 389 nt
Filed under: soil metagenome
Description: partial contains 5.8S ribosomal RNA, internal transcribed spacer 2, and large subunit ribosomal RNA
Rfam family: 5.8S ribosomal RNA (bases 1-120)
Source: RNAcentral